CUCUUGCUCCUAAUUCGACUGAGGCUCCACACUCAACCCAAAAAGAUCUCAAGAAUUGCUGCAGCGGACUUGGGGACUGGACAAAGAUCACAAAGAUAACUACCAACUUUGCUUCGUUCCUGUUCGGAGGAGAAUUCGCCACACCAAGACAAGAUUCUGCCCAAGGACAUUAACACUUCUGUUGCUGAGAUCCCCUGUCAUCUGGGUAUGAGUUGCCUGCACCCCAAAAAGCCUUUUUAAUACCUUUAUAUCAAGAUGUUUUGGUUUAGACAUUUGCUCCUGCACCUCUGGUUUUUGGGAUGUCUUUACUUGGCAAUACAAGCUUGGCGCGUUGACAUGCCAAGAAAUAUCAAAGCACUGUUGAAUUCCUGCCUCGUUAUCCCUUGUAGCUUUGACUACAAUUCGUAUCCACCUACAAGAGCAGACAGAGUUGUUUGGUACCAGUAUGUGAGCAGGGGAUAUCCUUUGGUUUCUGACAGUUGGUACCCUAAUGAAGUAAUUAGCAUGUAUAGAGGAAGAACCUAUGUAUACACUUCCAAAUAUGAAAAA
Molecule: long non-coding RNA, 549 nt
Organism: Poeciliopsis prolifica (blackstripe livebearer)
Lineage: Eukaryota; Metazoa; Chordata; Actinopteri; Cyprinodontiformes; Poeciliidae
Exons: 3
Source: RefSeq, a predicted model, not a curated record